This 430-nucleotide long non-coding RNA is filed under the name Musa acuminata (dwarf banana). RNAcentral's name for it is "long non-coding RNA (MACU_LNC010562)". Lineage: Eukaryota; Viridiplantae; Streptophyta; Magnoliopsida; Zingiberales; Musaceae. The record is from RNAcentral.
UCAUUGAUAUGCUCCGGAACAUUUCAUAUGCUAUUGAUAUGCUCCGAAAUGCUUCAUCUGCUAUUGUCUCAAAUUAUUGUUCACAAUACCCUUUUGUACUCUGGUGUUUGUGGGAUUAUUUGGACCUUUGCUAGAAAUGGUAAAGGGUAUGUGCUUAGAGCCUGCGAUGCUCUAGAUUAUGUUUGGUGGUCAUUCAGAAAUGGAUGGACCAUAUUAUGUUUGGAAUCCCACUUCACCUUCUAUCUGUUUCAUCUGUUAUUGUUACGCUGCGAAAUGUUCCAUAUGUCAUUGAUAUGCUCCGGAACAUUUCAUACGCUAUUGAUAUGCUUCAAUUACUCUGUGCUCUAUUUGCUAUGAACUGAUAUGUUCUGAAAUGUCCUAUUUGCCAUUGAUAUGCUCCGGAACGUCUCGUACGCUAUUGAUAUGCUCC